RNAcentral lists this long non-coding RNA (1093 nucleotides) under Coturnix japonica (Japanese quail). Its description in RNAcentral is "lncRNA (ENSCJPG00005020607.1)". The record is from RNAcentral. Lineage: Eukaryota; Metazoa; Chordata; Aves; Galliformes; Phasianidae.
CUAUGAUCUGCUGUUGUUGUUUUCUGUUUUUUCUUCUUACAAUCCCUUAACUAUAUACUUGGGACUCUUUCCCUUGUGCAUUUUUAGCAUGCUGCAUGCAUUUGACGUAGUCAAACUGAGUGCUUGAGAUAAGUAUUUAAAGUAACAAAAUGAAUUUCCUCUUUUAUCUUUCAGACUUUGUGUAAUGACUGGGGGGAAAAGAAAAAAACCACAAGGAAAAAAGGCGAGCAGGUGAAAUGUUUUAUAUGAAGCCUAGAACUGUAAGGAAAUAUACUCUUAUGUAUUAUUUUCCGAUCACCAUAAUGUCAGUGGGGUGAAAGGCUUCAGAGUGGUUUACUUCUGAAGAAUCACUUGCCUGGAUUUCAGCAGCUGCCUUUGGGAAGAGCCUGGAACAACACAUCUGCUGACACCCCUGUGGUAAACAAAGGGAGGCAUUUUUUUCAAGCAGAUUUUGGUUUGGUGCAGUGCUUGGAACAAAACAAGAGCAAACAAAACCCAACAGCACUAAAUGCUGCACUCUUGCUGCAUGGUGGAAGUAACUUGAGGACUUUACUGAGAGUCUCAGCCUUCAGCCUCGCAAUACACCUUCUCUAACAUGAGGAUCGAUCAGCUUGCUUUCAUAGCCACAUAGAGGCAAACCAGACUCACCAGGAUCUGAUGUUGAAAAGGAAGAAGUUUCUCAGGUAUAAUUAACCUGUGGAAUGCACUACUGUGAGAUGCUCUUGAAAUGCUGUCAUUAAUAGCAUCUGUCUUCAUAAGUUAGGGCAUCAGUGACUUCAUAGCUGAAAGCGAGAAGCAAUGUGUAGUAUCCCAUCAUGCCAUGUCUCUGCUGGAUGAACCGAGUGUGGUCGGAGAGACUUUUGGAGUGAUGGUCCCUGCUGGAGUUAAAGGAAGUUUUUGUUCCCAAAACCAGAAGGAAGGAAGUGGAAGAGGGAGCAGCAUGAAGAUACCACAAGAAUGGGAUAAGGAAGGGAAGAACUGCACUUGGGAGAGGCGCUACCGAGGAGAAAGAGCUGUCAGAAACACAAACCCCAUGCUCAGCUGGCUGAGUGAGGACCUGACCACAGAGAUGGAGAGGAAAUGUGGGACAGUG